ACCCGCUGAACUUAAGCAUAUCAAUAAGCGGAGGAAAAGAAACCAACAGGGAUUGCCUCAGUAACGGCGAGUGAAGCGGCAAGAGUUCAAAUUUAAAAGCCGACGUAGCUUUAAGAGACGUCCGCAUUGUAAUUUGAAGAGGCAUUCUCGGGUCGGGGCUCAGGCCUAAGUUCCUUGGAAGAGGGCGUCGUGGAGGGUGAGAACCCCGUUCGCGGCCUGCUGUCGACCUUUCCCCGAUCCACACGAGGUGCCAUCGAAGAGUCGAGUUGUUUGGGAAUGCAGCUCAAAGCGGGUGGUAAAUUCCAUCUAAAGCUAAAUAUUGACGGGAGACCGAUAGCGAACAAGUAGAGUGAUCGAAAGAUGAAAAGCACUUUGGAAAGAGAGUUAAACAGCACGUGAAAUUGUUGAAAGGGAAGCGCUUGAGACCAGUCACGGACCGAGGCGAUCAGUGGGACGUCCCUCUCGGGGGAGGAACCGCGCACUCGCUUUUCGGGUUUUCCGGGUCAACAUCGGUUGGGACGGUGUCAGAAAGGUCGCGGGAACGUGGCUCCCUUCACGGGGAGUGUUAUAGCCCGUGGCGUCAAAGUCGCCAGUUUCGACCGAGGACCGCGCUCGUCUUUUUCGAGCAAGGAUGUUGACGUAAUGGUCCC
RNAcentral lists this ribosomal RNA (650 nucleotides) under uncultured fungus. RNAcentral's name for it is "eukaryotic LSU rRNA". It matches the Rfam family "Eukaryotic large subunit ribosomal RNA", at positions 23 to 641 of the family's 3401-position model. Lineage: Eukaryota; Fungi. The record is from RNAcentral.